Podarcis muralis (Common wall lizard) is the source of this 565-nucleotide non-coding RNA. Lineage: Eukaryota; Metazoa; Chordata; Lepidosauria; Squamata; Lacertidae. The record is from RefSeq and is a predicted model, not a curated record.
GAGAGGGCAAACCGGUAGGAGGAAAAGCGGGUGGUGAAUUGAAAGUUUUUCUGCACCUUGCAGCGAAAAUAGGCAAACAAAGCUGGUCAUUUCUGUAGAUUGAUGCUACAGUGCUUAAGACAGACUCAGGACAUUUCCUUAUCUGAUUGAUUUAAGUAACGGCCACCUGAAUGAGUCACAGGCCACAUUAGUUCCACAGAACAAGGAAAAAACAGAGCAGGCCCAGAAAGCAAAGCUUGAAGAUUGUUUGGUAAUUUUAUGUUUGCUUCCUUCCUUUGGCUGUAAGAAGCAUAAUAGUUGAUCUUUCUGUUUCCUCAUCCAUGGAAGAAGAUGCAGCACCACGGAACAUGGUUAAUGCUAUGUGUACACACUUACACCUGAUAAACCUGCUUGCUCCUGAGGCUAGGAAAGUGGAUCUUACUUAAUUGGUGAGAAAAUAGAAGAAAACACUUCCAAGUCCUUAAGAUUUACAUCCUGUGUUUUCAAAACUCAGUGCUCUAUAAUUAUUGACUUAACAUUUCAGUUCAUUAAACAACCAUGUUAGGGUUGCUUUUCUAGGGUGUGU